AGAACGAACGCUGGCGGCAUGCCUAACACAUGCAAGUCGAACGAGACCUUCGGGUCUAGUGGCGCACGGGUGCGUAACGCGUGGGAAUCUGCCCUUGGGUUCGGAAUAACAGCGAGAAAUUGCUGCUAAUACCGGAUGAUGACGUAAGUCCAAAGAUUUAUCGCCCAAGGAUGACGCCCGCGUAGGAUUAGCUUGGUUGGUGAGGUAAGAGCUACACCGAAGGCGACGAUCCUUAGCGUGGUCUGAGAGGA
Molecule: ribosomal RNA, 251 nt
Filed under: uncultured soil bacterium
Lineage: Bacteria
Description: partial 16S ribosomal RNA
Rfam family: Bacterial small subunit ribosomal RNA
Source: RNAcentral